UACGAAGGGGGCUAGCGUUGCUCGGAAUGACUGGGCGUAAAGAGCUCGUAGGCGGUCUGUCGCGUCGGCUGUGAAAACCCGGGGCUCAACCCCGGGCCUGCAGUCGAUACGGGCAGACUAGAGUGCGGUAGGGGAGACUGGAAUUCCUGGUGUAGCGGUGAAAUGCGCAGAUAUCAGGAGGAACACCGGUGGCGAAGGCGGGUCUCUGGGCCGUAACUGACGCUGGAGGAAGCGAAAGCGUGGGGAGCGAACAGG
Molecule: ribosomal RNA, 255 nt
Filed under: uncultured bacterium
Lineage: Bacteria
Description: partial 16S ribosomal RNA
Rfam family: Bacterial small subunit ribosomal RNA
Source: RNAcentral